RNAcentral lists this ribosomal RNA (253 nucleotides) under uncultured bacterium. Its description in RNAcentral is "partial 16S ribosomal RNA". It matches the Rfam family "Bacterial small subunit ribosomal RNA", at positions 524 to 776 of the family's 1533-position model. The record is from RNAcentral.
UACAGAGGGGGCAAGCGUUGUUCGGAAUUACUGGGCGUAAAGGGCUCGUAGGUGGCCAACUAAGUCAGACGUGAAAUCCCCAGGCUCAACUUGGGAACUGCGUCUGAUACUGGAUGGCUUGAAUUCGGGAGAGGGAUGCAGAAUUCCAGGUGUAGCGGUGAAAUGCGUAGAUAUCUGGAGGAAUACCGGUGGCGAAGGCGGCAUCCUGGACCGACAUUGACACUGAUGAGCGAAAGCUAGGGGAGCAAACGGG